GGUUUUCUGGUUGCUUUUGAUCGGAGUACUCCAAGGAAAAGGGCUCCUGGCCAAAAUGCUAAGAAUGAAGAACAAAGGAUUAAGAAAGUUUUAUAUAUUUUCAUUAAAAGAGAAGGCAGGACAAGCUGACUCAAGCCGAAAAGAAACGGGGAACUUAUCUGGCUCAGACGAGGUCCAGCGACACCAGCCGGUCCUUCCUGAGGACAGCAGGCACGACUCGGCAAGUAAUCCGAGGCCGGAUGGCCUGGAGGAGAAGCUGAGAGGAGCGAGCAGCCCCUCCGGUCAGCUCGACUCACUCCCAGAAAAUGAACUGCGCAGGUCCGAAAGAGUUAGGAAACGCCCAGCGUACCUGCGCGACUACGUAGAGAAAUAACAUGCUAAAUUUAUGCAAAUAUGAGUAAAGUGUUUUCUGGGAGGGAAGGAGUGUAAUGUAUCUUUAAAAGUUUUGGCGGGAAUUAGCACGUUGCUGAUUGGUUGAGGCCACCGGCUGAAAUGUAUAUAAAGAGAGGUUUGCCCCAGUACUGGUUGCUGGGAUUCACUGUAUAUUAAAGAGCUGUUGUCACUACCCUGGUCUCCUGCCUCGUUAUUGCCCAAACUUAACAGUUUUUGGUUGAAAAUUUUGGGAUUUUGAGUAGAGACAAUGGAGUCAGGUAAUAAGUUCCAAGCUUUGAUAGAGCAUUGCCAGUUUUUGAUAGAGCAUUGCCAGUUUUGACCACUUGUUGUCUGUUUGACAAGAAAGCUGUUAUCCUAUUGUGGAGUGGUCCUGAAAUGCCGUAGGAUUUUAGUUUUAGGAGAAGUUUAUCAUGUAUUACUGAGUCAAACGCUUUACAGAACUCUAUGUAGAUUGCAUCUAUUGCUUUGUCCUGAUCAAGAUUUGUAGUCCAUGUUUUUGCAGUGAAAAAGUUGUAAGUUACAUGAUAAUUUUUUUCUGAAACUGAAUUGUUUAUUAGAGAGUAGGUUGUUUGUUUCUAGGUGGAGGGUAAUGGAUUGGUUGAUGAUAGAUUCCACUACUUUGCAGGUGACGCAGCAUAGAGAGAUUGGUCUGUAAUUAUCAACUAGGCUGGGGUCUCCUUUUUUGAAGACUGGGAUGACCGUGGCUAGUGACCAAAGUUUGGGAAGGGAACUGGUCGUGAAAGCUUUUUCAAAGAUUAUGCUUAGGGGUUCUGCUAUAUUAGUGGAAAGCUUUUUUAAGAAGUAUGCACAUCAGGUCCAAUAGAUAGGGAUGGUUUCAGUUUGCGAAGAGGUUUUUUAACAUUAUCUUCUGUGAAAUCUAUUUGUGUUAGGUCAUUGUACUCAUUGUUGGUACAAUAGGGGAAUGUCGGAUAUGAGCCAUUACAAAGACUGAGCCAAAGAAUGUGUUAAAAACUUCCAAGUUUUGUCCCGUAUUAUUCUAUGAAUAAGAUGAAGAUGACAGGCUUUUAAUCAUUUAGGGGCUGCGCCCAAAAACAAAAACUUUAUGAACUUUUAGGGGCCAGGAAGCACCCAAUAAAUCUGAUGAAGCUAAAGCUCGGACGAUCUAGCUUUUGCUGGCUAGAUGGCGCUCUAUGGUUAGGCAAUAAGCUCGCAAGAAGCUGAACGGAAAGGAAUUGAGACCAUAGACUCGCGGAUGGCUAGAGAGACUAUGGAAAGGCGAAGCCCCGAAAAAAAUUCGUCUUCCGGCUUCCUGAUGGAGUCUGGCGGUGGCUGUUGUAGUUUUUCCUGGGUCGAAGCGGCAGCUGGCAGAUGGGAACCACAUCAGCUCCUUUCCAAUCCUCUGGUAGUUUCCAGUGCUUCAAGAUUUUUUAAAGGUAAAUGGAAUGCCAAAAAGAGUCUUCUGGACGACAGAGAAUCAGAAUCAGAUUGAAAAAGGAAAGUGAAUCCGGAACAUCUCAUAAAUGUCUUUUCC
This is a long non-coding RNA of Ahaetulla prasina, 1885 nucleotides long. RefSeq lists it as uncharacterized. The transcript has 4 exons. The record is from RefSeq and is a predicted model, not a curated record. NCBI's taxonomy places the organism in Eukaryota, Metazoa, Chordata, Lepidosauria, Squamata, Colubridae.